The sequence is a transfer RNA, 79 nucleotides long. It matches the Rfam family "tRNA". From Rfam's summary of the family: Transfer RNA (tRNA) molecules are approximately 80 nucleotides in length. Their secondary structure includes four short double-helical elements and three loops (D, anti-codon, and T loops).
GGCGCUAUGGUGUAGUGGCAGCACAUGGGAUUUUGAUUGCACAAUUCCCAUAACCCAGGUUCGAACCCUGGUAGUGCCU